Molecule: ribosomal RNA, 465 nt
Filed under: uncultured bacterium
Lineage: Bacteria
Description: bacterial SSU rRNA
Rfam family: Bacterial small subunit ribosomal RNA
Source: RNAcentral
GCCAGACUCCUACGGGAGGCAGCAGUGAGGAAUAUUGGUCAAUGGACGAGAGUCUGAACCAGCCAAGUAGCGUGAGGGAAGACUGCCCUAUGGGUUGUAAACCUCUUUUGUCAGGGAGCAAUUGGCGCUACGUGUAGCGUUAUCGAGAGUACCUGAAGAAAAAGCAUCGGCUAACUCCGUGCCAGCAGCCGCGGUAAUACGGAGGAUGCGAGCGUUAUCCGGAUUUAUUGGGUUUAAAGGGUGCGUAGGCGGAAUGCCAAGUCAGCGGUAAAAUCGCGGGGCUCAACCUCGCUCCGCCGUUGAAACUGGCGCUCUUGAGUGGGCGAGAAGUAUGCGGAAUGCGUGGUGUAGCGGUGAAAUGCAUAGAUAUCACGCAGAACUCCGAUUGCGAAGGCAGCAUACCGGCGCCCAACUGACGCUGAAGCACGAAAGCGUGGGUAUCGAACAGGAUUAGAUACCCCCGUA